Molecule: ribosomal RNA, 466 nt
Filed under: uncultured bacterium
Lineage: Bacteria
Description: partial 16S ribosomal RNA
Rfam family: Bacterial small subunit ribosomal RNA
Source: RNAcentral
GACGAACGCUGGCGGCGUGCUUAACACAUGCAAGUCGAACGGAAAGGCCCUGCUUUUGUGGGGUGCUCGAGUGGCGAACGGGUGAGUAACACGUGAGUAACCUGCCCUUGACUUUGGGAUAACUUCAGGAAACUGGGGCUAAUACCGGAUAGGAGCUCCUGCUGCAUGGUGGGGGUUGGAAAGUUUCGGCGGUUGGGGAUGGACUCGCGGCUUAUCAGCUUGUUGGUGGGGUAGUGGCUUACCAGGGCUUUGACGGGUAGCCGGCCUGAGAGGGUGACCGGCCACAGUGGGACUGAGAUACGGCCCAGACUCCUACGGGAGGCAGCAGUGGGGAAUAUUGCACAAUGGGCGGAAGCCUGAUGCAGCAACGCCGCGUGCGGGAUGACGGCCUUCGGGUUGUAAACCGCUUUCGCCUGUGACGAAGCGUGAGUGACGGUAAUGGGUAAAGAAGCACCGGCUAACUACG